GAACUGCUGAGGAGUCCUAUACUACGACGAAACGGCCGUCCAGUGC
Molecule: non-coding RNA, 46 nt
Filed under: Schistosoma curassoni
Lineage: Eukaryota; Metazoa; Platyhelminthes; Trematoda; Strigeidida; Schistosomatidae
Source: RNAcentral